CCAGACUCCUACGGGAGGCAGCAGUGAGGAAUAUUGGUCAAUGGACGAGAGUCUGAACCAGCCAAGUAGCGUGAAGGAUGACUGCCCUAUGGGUUGUAAACUUCUUUUAUAUGGGAAUAAAAUGUUCCACGUGUGGGAUUUUGUAUGUACCAUAUGAAUAAGGAUCGGCUAACUCCGUGCCAGCAGCCGCGGUAAUACGGGGGAUGCAAGCGUUGUCCGGAAUCAUUGGGCGUAAAGAGUUCGUAGGUGGCACGUUAAGUCUGGUGUUAAAUGCAGAGGCUCAACCUCUGUUCGGCACUGGAUACUGGCGAGCUUGAAUGCGGUAGAGGUAAAGGGAAUUCCUGGUGUAGCGGUGAAAUGCGUAGAUAUCAGGAGGAACAUCGGUGGCGUAAGCGCUUUACUGGGCCGUAAUUGACACUGAGGAACGAAAGCCAGGGUAGCAAAUGGGAUUAGAUACCCCUGUA
RNAcentral lists this ribosomal RNA (464 nucleotides) under uncultured bacterium. RNAcentral's name for it is "bacterial SSU rRNA". It matches the Rfam family "Bacterial small subunit ribosomal RNA", at positions 331 to 792 of the family's 1533-position model. The record is from RNAcentral.